RNAcentral lists this long non-coding RNA (1376 nucleotides) under Struthio camelus australis. RNAcentral's name for it is "lncRNA (ENSSCUG00000014517.1)". The record is from RNAcentral. Lineage: Eukaryota; Metazoa; Chordata; Aves; Struthioniformes; Struthionidae.
GGCCCCGGCACAGGUGGCCCCACAGGCGGCUUGUACGGACUCGCUGUAUUGCCCGCGGACACGCAGAAACACAGGGAGCAGGGAGUCGCGGCACCCGGGCACCUCGGCCUCCCUGAAAGGCACGCGGGGUGGGUGCCCGGUGCGGCACCUCUAAGUGGGGAUGACGCCCGAGACGAGGAGGAUGAUGAGGAUGAGGAUGAUGGCACCCACAAGGCCGAGGAUGAGGAGCAGCUUCAGGUUCUUCCACCAGUACUUGCGGGCCACCUUCUGCGACGUUGUCUUGAAGUGCUCCGACUGCGGGCAGAGGAGGGCACCGGGCUCGGGGUGCUGCACCCUAGGGGUCCCCCCCCACCCCAAGGACCCUGCACCCAUCCCAUGACCCUGUGCACCGCACCUCAGGGCUUACCCAGGGACCAGGUGCCACCCGGGGGGCCCAGCAGUCACCCUGUGCCCCACCCCUGUGCCCCACUCUGACAGUCCACUUAGGGCCCCUGUAUCCACCCUGGAGAGCUGGUGCCACUUUGAGGACCCUCUACCCAGGCCAGGGACCCAGCACCCAACCCCACGUCCCCAAGAGGGGCUGGGGCUGCGCCUGGUGCCCGCGGUGACCUUCUCCGGGACGUGCCCAGAACCAGGGAACCGCCGGGCGGUUUGGUGGCCCCCCCCCCCUCCAACCCCAUAGGGGCUCCGGGCACCCCACUUAGAGCCUGGGCACCCUGAGCACCCCAGGCACCCCAUAGGGGCUCCGGGCACCCCACUUAGAGCCUGGGCACCCUGAGCACCCCAGGCACCCCAUAGGGGCUCCGGGCACCCCACUUAGAGCCUGGGCACCCUGAGCACCCCAGGCACCCCAUAGGGGCUCCGGGCACCCCACUUAGAGCCUGGGCACCCUGAGCACCCCAGGCACCCCACAGGGGCUCUGAGCACCCCACAUGGAGCCCAUGCACCCUACCUGCAUCUCAGGCACCCAUACAGACCCCGAGCAUCCCUACCACCCCACAGGGACCCCAUAUGCACCCUGGACACCCACAUGGACCCCGAGCACCCCACAGGGACCCCACAGAGAGCCUGGGCACCCUAUAUGCACCCACACAGACCUCGAGCACCCCACAGAGACCCCACACGCACCCUGGACACCCACAUGGACCCCAAGCACUCUAAGCACCCCACAGGGACCCCACAGAGAGCCUGGGCACCCUAUAUGCACCCACACAGACCUCGAGCACCCCACAGAGACCCCACACGCACCCUGGACACCCACAUGGACCCCAAGCACUCUAAGCACCCCACAGGGACCCCACAGAGAGCCUGGGCACCCUAUAUGCACCCACACAGACCUCGAGCACCCCACAGAGACCCCACACGCACCCUGGACA